This 253-nucleotide ribosomal RNA is filed under the name uncultured bacterium. Its description in RNAcentral is "partial 16S ribosomal RNA". It matches the Rfam family "Bacterial small subunit ribosomal RNA", at positions 524 to 776 of the family's 1533-position model. The record is from RNAcentral.
UACGAGGGGUGCAAGCGUUGCUCGGAAUUAUUGGGCGUAAAGGGUGCGUAGGCGGGUUUUUAAGUCAGGGGUGAAAUCCUGGAGCUCAACUCCAGAACUGCCUUUGAUACUGAAGAUCUUGAGUCCGGGAGAGGUGAGUGGAACUGCGAGUGUAGAGGUGAAAUUCGUAGAUAUUCGGAAGAACACCAGUGGCGAAGGCGACUGACUGGACAAGUAUUGACGCUGAGGUGCGAAAGCGUGGGGAGCAAACAGG